GACGAGCGCUGGCGGCGUGCCUAAUACAUGCAAGUAGAACGCUGAAGAGAGGAGCUUGCUCUUCUUGGAUGAGUUGCGAACGGGUGAGUAACGCGUAGGUAACCUGCCUUGUAGCGGGGGAUAACUAUUGGAAACGAUAGCUAAUACCGCAUAACAAUGGAUGACACAUGUCUUUUAUUUGAAAGGGGCAAUUGCUCCACUACAAGAUGGACCUGCGUUGUAUUAGCUAGUAGGUGAGGUAAUGGCUCACCUAGGCGACGGUACAUAGCCGACCUGGGAGGGUGGUCGGCCACACUGGGACUGGGACACGGCCCAGAAUCCUACGGGGGGCAGCAGUAGGGGAUCUUCGGCAAUGGGGGCAACGCUGACCGAGCAACGCCGCGUGAGUGGAGAAGGUUUUCGGAUCGUAAAGCUCUGUUGUAAGUCAAGAACGGGUGUUGGAGUGGAAAGUUCACACUGUGACGGUAGCUUACCAGAAAGGGACGGCUAACUACGUG
RNAcentral lists this ribosomal RNA (497 nucleotides) under uncultured bacterium. RNAcentral's name for it is "partial 16S ribosomal RNA". It matches the Rfam family "Bacterial small subunit ribosomal RNA", at positions 28 to 507 of the family's 1533-position model. The record is from RNAcentral.